UACGAGAGGCCCAAACGUUAUUCGGAAUUACUGGGCUUAAAGAGUUCGUAGGCGGCGCAACAAGUGGGGUGUGAAAGCCCUCGGCUCAACCGAGGAAUUGCGCUCCAAACUGUUGUGCUUGAGGGACCUAGAGGUGAGCGGAACUGAUGGUGGAGCGGUGAAAUGCGUUGAUAUCAUCAGGAACACCGGAGGCGAAGGCGCCUCCCUGGGGGUCUUCUGACGCGGAGGAACGAAAGCCGGGGGAGCGACGGG
Molecule: ribosomal RNA, 252 nt
Filed under: uncultured bacterium
Lineage: Bacteria
Description: partial 16S ribosomal RNA
Rfam family: Bacterial small subunit ribosomal RNA
Source: RNAcentral